Long non-coding RNA from Quercus robur (English oak), 177 nucleotides. RefSeq lists it as uncharacterized. The record is from RefSeq and is a predicted model, not a curated record. The transcript is spliced from 2 exons. NCBI's taxonomy places the organism in Eukaryota, Viridiplantae, Streptophyta, Magnoliopsida, Fagales, Fagaceae.
AGCACAAACUGAAACUGCUAGUACUGUGGAGAACCAGCCAGUGGAGGAUCCUCCAUCAUCGAGGUUCACAUGGAGGAUUGACAACAUUUCUAGGCUGAAUGCGAAGAAGGUCUAUUCAGAAGUAUUUGUUGUUGGUGGUUUUAAAUGGCGUGUGCUUAUUUUCCCAAAGGGAAACAA